UACGUAGGGUGCAAGCGUUGUCCGGAAUUAUUGGGCGUAAAGCGCUCGUAGGCGGUCUGUCACGUCGGCCGUGAAAAUCCAGGGCUCAACCCUGGACCUGCGUUCGAUACGGGCAGACUAGAGUUCGGUAGGGGAGACUGGAAUUCCUGGUGUAGCGGUGAAAUGCGCAGAUAUCAGGAGGAACACCGAUGGCGAAGGCAGGUCUCUGGGCCACUACUGACGCUGAGAAGCGAAAGCAUGGGGAGCGAACAGG
This 253-nucleotide ribosomal RNA is filed under the name uncultured bacterium. Its description in RNAcentral is "partial 16S ribosomal RNA". It matches the Rfam family "Bacterial small subunit ribosomal RNA", at positions 524 to 776 of the family's 1533-position model. The record is from RNAcentral.